This is a long non-coding RNA of Oncorhynchus kisutch (coho salmon), 308 nucleotides long. RefSeq lists it as uncharacterized. Lineage: Eukaryota; Metazoa; Chordata; Actinopteri; Salmoniformes; Salmonidae. The transcript is spliced from 2 exons. The record is from RefSeq and is a predicted model, not a curated record.
AAAUCAAUCCCAGAACAACAGCAAAGGACCUUGUGAAGAUGCUGGAGGAAACAGAGUAAGCGUUGUAGUUCCCACUGAACUUUUCCUAGCAGUGACACAGCAGCAACUACCAUCCUGGCCAAGGAGAGCGCAGUCCUUAGAUCAAACCCUUUGGCUCCCUGUCUCCCAACAUAUUGAUUACAAGAUCAUCCUCCUGACCUACAAAUCUCUUCGCCACCAUCCCCCUCCUUAGCUCUCUGACCUUUUUUCUUGGCUACCAACUCCAACACUCACUCCGUUCUGCCACAGCAGGCCAGCUUGUCGCACUU